CUACGGGUGGCUGCAGUGGGGAAUAUUGCACAAUGGGGGGAACCCUGAUGCAGCAACGCCGCGUGGAGGAUGACACAUUUCGGUGCGUAAACUCCUUUUAUAUAAGAAGAUAAUGACGGUAUUAUAUGAAUAAGCACCGGCUAACUCCGUGCCAGCAGCCGCGGUAAUACGGGGGGUGCAAGCGUUACUCGGAAUCACUGGGCGUAAAGAGCAUGUAGGCGGGUAGAAAAGUUGGAAGUGAAAUCCUAUGGCUUAACCAUAGAACUGCUUCCAAAACUCUUUACCUAGAAUAUGGGAGAGGUAGAUGGAAUUUCUGGUGUAGGGGUAAAAUCCGUAGAGAUCAGAAGGAAUACCGAUUGCGAAGGCGAUCUACUGGAACAUUAUUGACGCUCAGAUGCGAAAGCGUGGGGAGCAAACAGGAUUAGAUACCCGCGUAGUC
RNAcentral lists this ribosomal RNA (439 nucleotides) under uncultured bacterium. Its description in RNAcentral is "partial 16S ribosomal RNA". It matches the Rfam family "Bacterial small subunit ribosomal RNA", at positions 339 to 795 of the family's 1533-position model. The record is from RNAcentral.